GUAGGUGGCAAGCGUUGUCCGGAAUUAUUGAGCGUAAAGCGCGCGCAGGCGGUUCUUUAAGUCUGAUGUGAAAGCCCACGGCUCAACCGUGGAGGGUCAUUGGAAACUGGAGAACUUGAGUACAGAAGAGGAAAGCGGAAUUCCACGUGUAGCGGUGAAAUGCGUAGAGAUGUGGAGGAACACCAGUGGCGAAGGCGGCUUUCUGGUCUGUAACUGACGCUGAGGCGCGAAAGCGUGGGGAGCAAACAGGAUUAGAUACCCUGGUAGUCCACGCCGUAAACGAUGAGUGCUAAGUGUUAGGGGGGUUUCCGCCCCCCUUAGUGCUGCAGCUAACGCAUUAAGCACUCCGCCUGGGAGUACGGCCGCAAGGCUG
This 373-nucleotide ribosomal RNA is filed under the name uncultured organism. RNAcentral describes it as "partial 16S ribosomal RNA". It matches the Rfam family "Bacterial small subunit ribosomal RNA", at positions 527 to 896 of the family's 1533-position model. The record is from RNAcentral.